Molecule: ribosomal RNA, 468 nt
Filed under: uncultured bacterium
Lineage: Bacteria
Description: partial 16S ribosomal RNA
Rfam family: Bacterial small subunit ribosomal RNA
Source: RNAcentral
GACGAACGCUGGCGGCGUGCUUAACACAUGCAAGUCGAACGGAAAGGCCCUGCUUUUGUGGGGUGCUCGAGUGGCGAACGGGUGAGUAACACGUGAGUAACCUGCCCUUGACUUUGGGAUAACUUCAGGAAACUGGGGCUAAUACCGGAUAGGAGCUCCUGCUGCAUGGUGGGGGUUGGAAAGUUUCGGCGGUUGGGGAUGGACUCGCGGCUUAUCAGCUUGUUGGUGGGGUAGGGGCUUUCCAAGGCUUUGACGGGUAGCCGGCCUGAGAGGGUGACCGGCCACAUUGGGACUGAGAUACGGCCCAGACUCCUACGGGAGGCAGCAGUGGGGAAUAUUGCACAAUGGGCGGAAGCCUGAUGCAGCAACGCCGCGUGCGGGAUGACGGCCUUCGGGUUGUAAACCGCUUUCGCCUGUGACGAAGCGUGAGUGACGGUAAUGGGUAAAGAAGCACCGGCUAACUACGUG